UGACUGGGGUGAAGUCGUAACAAGGUAACCGUAGGGGAACCUGCGGUUGGAUCACCUCCUUACCUUAAAGAAGC
This 74-nucleotide ribosomal RNA is filed under the name Escherichia coli. RNAcentral describes it as "partial 16S ribosomal RNA". The stretch from base 1 to 62 matches the Rfam family "Bacterial small subunit ribosomal RNA", at positions 1472 to 1533 of the family's 1533-position model. RNAcentral also lists the same sequence under 12 other names. Lineage: Bacteria; Pseudomonadati; Pseudomonadota; Gammaproteobacteria; Enterobacterales; Enterobacteriaceae. The record is from RNAcentral.